RNAcentral lists this ribosomal RNA (394 nucleotides) under uncultured bacterium. Its description in RNAcentral is "partial 16S ribosomal RNA". It matches the Rfam family "Bacterial small subunit ribosomal RNA", at positions 523 to 918 of the family's 1533-position model. The record is from RNAcentral.
AUACGUAGGGAGCGAGCGUUGUCCGGAAUUACUGGGCGUAAAGGGCGCGUAGGCGGCGCUUCAAGUCGUCUGUCAAAUGGGAGGGCUUAACCCUUUUUCGCAGACGAAACUGGAGAGCUUGAGAAGCAGAGAGGCAAACAGAAUUCCUGGUGUAGCGGUGCAAUGCGUAGAUAUCAGGAAGAAUACCAGUGGCGAAGGCGGUUUGCUGGCUGCAUACUGACGCUGAAGCGCGAAAGCCAGGGGAGCAAACGGGAUUAGAUACCCCGGUAGUCCUGGCAGUAAACGAUGUAUGCUGGGUGUGAGACUAGCGAUAGUUUCGUGCCGAAGUUAACGCGAUAAGCAUACCGCCUGGGGAGUACGGUCGCAAGAUUGAAACUCAAAUGAAUUGACGGGG